CCUACGGGAGGCAGCAGUGAGGAAUAUUGGUCAAUGGGCGCUAGCCUGAACCAGCCAAGUAGCGUGAAGGAUGACUGCCCUAUGGGUUGUAAACUUCUUUUGUAUGGGAAUAACAUGCAGUAUGUAUACUGCUUUGCAUGUACCUUAUGAAUAAGGAUCGGCUAACUCCGUGCCAGCAGCCGCGGUAAUACGGAGGAUCCGAGCGUUAUCCGGAUUUAUUGGGUUUAAAGGGAGCGUAGGCGGGUUGUUAAGUCAGUUGUGAAAGUUUGCGGCUCAACCGUAAAAUUGCAGUUGAUACUGGCAGCCUUGAGUACAGUAGAGGUAGGCGGAAUUCGUGGUGUAGCGGUGAAAUGCGUAGAUAUCACGAAGAACUCCGAUUGCGAAGGCAGCCUGCUGGACUGUAACUGACGCUGAGGCUCGAAAGUGUGGGUAUCAAACAGGAUUAGAUACCCCUGUAGUC
This 460-nucleotide ribosomal RNA is filed under the name uncultured bacterium. RNAcentral's name for it is "partial 16S ribosomal RNA". It matches the Rfam family "Bacterial small subunit ribosomal RNA", at positions 338 to 795 of the family's 1533-position model. The record is from RNAcentral.